CUACGCACUCCUACGGGAGGCAGCAGUGGGGAAUAUUGGACAAUGGGCGCAAGCCUGAUCCAGCCAUGCCGCGUGAGUGAUGAAGGCCUUAGGGUUGUAAAGCUCUUUUGUCCGGGACGAUAAUGACGGUACCGGGAGAAUAAGCCCCGGCUAACUUCGUGCCAGCAGCCGCGGUAAUACGAAGGGGGCUAGCGUUGCUCGGAAUCACUGGGCGUAAAGGGCGCGUAGGCGGCCUUGUAAGUUGGGGGUGAAAGCCCGUGGCUCAACCACGGAAUUGCCUUCGAUACUGCUUGGCUUGAGUGUGGUAGAGGUUGGUGGAACUGCGAGUGUAGAGGUGAAAUUCGUAGAUAUUCGCAAGAACACCGGUGGCGAAGGCGGCCAACUGGACCAUCACUGACGCUGAGGCGCGAAAGCGUGGGGAGCAAACAGGAUUAGAUACCCUGGUAG
This 447-nucleotide ribosomal RNA is filed under the name uncultured bacterium. RNAcentral describes it as "bacterial SSU rRNA". It matches the Rfam family "Bacterial small subunit ribosomal RNA", at positions 329 to 793 of the family's 1533-position model. The record is from RNAcentral.